Molecule: long non-coding RNA, 611 nt
Organism: Phragmites australis (common reed)
Lineage: Eukaryota; Viridiplantae; Streptophyta; Magnoliopsida; Poales; Poaceae
Exons: 2
Source: RefSeq, a predicted model, not a curated record
UGCACAUCUCACCCCUCACCUUUUUCUCCGAAAUCAGCUCCUCUAACCUACCAAUUGAAAGUCGCGGAUAAACAGUACCCCUAAAUAUCAUUUUAUGUUUCGAUGAAUAAUAAUUCGCAGUAAAUCACUGUUCUCUCACUGUUUGCGGCCCGUGACUUUCCUCUGGUAAGUCGGAGGAGCCGGUUCCCUUUUCUACACACUAGUGGCGGCGGCUCCUGCGAACCGGUGGCGCCUCCUGUUCGUCCCGACGCGGCGUGAUUCCCAGAUUGACGGCGAGGGGCCGGUGGCGCGGGGCGCAGGCGGGUGAGGAGCCGGGGUAGGCGGGCGGAAGCCAAGGCAGGCGGAGCGGGUAGCGCGGUGGUCAGGCGGGCGGCGAGCCAGCGAGCCAGGGCUGGCGGGGCGGGCAGCGAGCCAGGGCAGGCGGGGCGGGCGGUGAGCCGGAACGCGGCACCGCUGAAGCUGCUGCUGCGGGACCGCAUCGACGGGCUGCUCGACCCCGACGCAUCCUUCCUCAAUCUCUUUCAGGAAGAGUGAUGUGGGAAUCAGAGAAGGGGGAGCUCGCAACAUGGUGUAUUGUGCUGGUGUUUUGCAAUGGAGACAAGUUUGUUUUA